RNAcentral lists this long non-coding RNA (1162 nucleotides) under Fragaria vesca (wild strawberry). Its description in RNAcentral is "long non-coding RNA (FVES_LNC002612)". Lineage: Eukaryota; Viridiplantae; Streptophyta; Magnoliopsida; Rosales; Rosaceae. The record is from RNAcentral.
AAAACACAUCGAAAACCACAGCAACCCUGCUCAGUAGCUACGAAGUCACUUACCACUGCUUAACAUCUCUGAAGUCGACCUAGGUCAUCGGAAGAAGUAAAGAACGCCAGAAAGCCUUGUCGGCAUCACCGCAGCAGCUCGCCGGAAAACUCAAAAUCGAUAGUAAAGGGGUUAUUAAGAUUUGUAAAAGAUUCGAGGGAUUAAGGGCACUAGGGUGCAGAGAAUGAAGGGAAAAGUUUGAAUAUGCCAGUUCUAGGCCAAGUCGUCGACGGAGACGGCGGAAACAGAAGACACAAUCAGAGCUUCUCGCGGUCGAUUUGUCUUUGAAUCAGUAUGUGCAAUUCACGGGCUGUGUUAUGUAGAGGGGAAAGAGAGAAGAAAUUUGAUGGUGGUUUUGUGGAGAAUGGAGGCCAGAGUCGGCCGGGCGGUGUCGGAGAAGACGGCCAGGGACGGAGAGCUGCUUAGCUCUUGUCGUACGCGAGAGAGGAGUGCUUGACCCGAUUUGGGUCAGUUGACCUUGGUUGGGUUUUCAAAGAAGGAAUCAACGGUCAGGAUUAAAAGAGAACGAGAUCAAAAUGGUCUGCCUGUUUACGAAGACUAACAUACCUGUUUUGUGAACAUGGUGUAUAAGCUGUUCAAAUCAUUGUCUCACACUAUGAGUAGAGCAACUCUAAAGAGUCCAGAAUUCACACACACUUGAAGAAUUCUUGAGAGGUCUACCUGUUUACGAAGUCUAGUAUGCUUAUUUACGAGUACGGGUCUACUUUUUUUGUGAGACAAAAUGGUCUACUUGUUUACGAACACAUACCUACCUGUUUUGUAAACAUGGUCUACCAGGUUUCUGAAUCAUUGACUCAUGCUACGUGUAGACCAACUCUAAAAAGUAUAGAAUUCACACAUACACUUGAAGAAUUUUUGAGAGGUCUACCUGUUUACCAAGCCUGGUCUACUUAUUUACGAGAAAUUGUCUAUUUUUUUGUUGAGAUAAAAUGGUCUAUCUGUUUACGAACACAAACCUACCUGUUUUGUAAACAUGGUCUACCAGGUUUUCGAAUCAUUGUCUCAUACUACAUGUAGACCAACUCUAAAGAGUCCAGAAUUCACACACACUUGAAGAAUUCUUGAGCGGUCUACCUGUUUACGAAGUCUGGUCUGCUUAUUU